RNAcentral lists this ribosomal RNA (234 nucleotides) under uncultured bacterium. RNAcentral describes it as "partial 16S ribosomal RNA". It matches the Rfam family "Bacterial small subunit ribosomal RNA", at positions 15 to 220 of the family's 1533-position model. The record is from RNAcentral.
GAUCAUGGCUCAGGAUGAACGCUGGCGGCGUGCUUAACACAUGCAAGUCGAACGAAGAUGCCAUAGUAGAAGCAAUUAGCUUGCUAAAGGUGGACACAGUGGGAUCUUAGUGGCGGACGGGUGAGUAACGCGUGGGUAACCUGCCGUAUACAGGGGGAUAACACCUGGAAACAGGUGCUAAUACCGCAUAAGCGCACGAUGUCGCAUGACGUUGUGUGAAAAGCCGAGACGGUA